RNAcentral lists this ribosomal RNA (274 nucleotides) under uncultured bacterium. RNAcentral's name for it is "partial 16S ribosomal RNA". It matches the Rfam family "Archaeal small subunit ribosomal RNA", at positions 473 to 747 of the family's 1478-position model. The record is from RNAcentral.
AAACCAGCACCUCAAGUGGUCAGGAGGAUUAUUGGGCCUAAAGCAUCCGUAGCCUGUUCUAUAAGUUUCCGGUUAAAUCCACUAGCUCAACUAGUGGGCUGCCGAAAAUACUGUAGAACUAGGGAGUGCGAGAGGUAGACGGUAUUCGGUAGGAAGGGGUAAAAUCCUUUGAUCUAUUGAGGACCACCUGUGGCGAAGGCGGUCUACCAGAACACGUUCGACGGUGAGGGAUGAAAGCUGGGGGAGCAAACCGAAUUAGAAACCCGAGUAGUCC